Molecule: unclassified non-coding RNA, 148 nt
Organism: Pongo abelii (Sumatran orangutan)
Lineage: Eukaryota; Metazoa; Chordata; Mammalia; Primates; Hominidae
Rfam family: Metazoan signal recognition particle RNA
About the family: The signal recognition particle (SRP) is a universally conserved ribonucleoprotein.
Source: Ensembl
GCCAGGCGUGGUGGUGCACGCCUGUAAUCCUAGCUACUCGAGAGGCUGAGGCAGGAGAAUCGCUUGAACCCAGGAGUUGGAGGUUGCAGUGAGCCAAGAUUGCGCCACUGCACUCCAGCCUGGGUGACAGAGCUGGACCUUGUCUCAA